UGAUAGAGGUCGCGGUCCUCAAGAGUAGCUCCCCCCGCUGCAGGCACAGGGGGGAGGGAAAGGGAGGCCCGCCGAGGAGCGGACGAGACGGCCUGGUCGAGUUCGUGUCCGGGGCGGCGGAGAACAUCCGCCGCACUGUCGCCCCCCGGGGGCGGAGAGCUGUCAG
RNAcentral lists this non-coding RNA (166 nucleotides) under bovine gut metagenome. RNAcentral describes it as "Lysine riboswitch". It matches the Rfam family "Lysine riboswitch aptamer". From Rfam's summary of the family: Riboswitches are metabolite binding domains within certain messenger RNAs that serve as precision sensors for their corresponding targets. Allosteric rearrangement of mRNA structure is mediated by ligand binding, and this results in modulation of gene expression. This family includes riboswitches that sense lysine in a number of genes involved in lysine metabolism, including lysC. The record is from RNAcentral.